CUACGGAGGGUGCAAGCGUUACUCGGAAUUACUGGGCGUAAAGGACGCGUAGGCGGUUUAGAAAGUCAGAUGUGAAAGCCUAUGGCUUAACCAUAGAACUGCAUUUGAAACUUCCAAACUAGAGUGGGGGAGAGGUCAGUGGAAUUAGUGGUGUAGGGGUAAAAUCCGUAGAGAUCACUAGGAAUACUCAUUGCGAAGGCGACUGACUGGAACUUAACUGACGCUGAGGCGUGAAAGCGUGGGGAGCAAACAGGAUUAGAAACCCUAGUAGUCC
RNAcentral lists this ribosomal RNA (274 nucleotides) under uncultured bacterium. Its description in RNAcentral is "partial 16S ribosomal RNA". It matches the Rfam family "Bacterial small subunit ribosomal RNA", at positions 523 to 796 of the family's 1533-position model. The record is from RNAcentral.